UACGUAGGGGGCAAGCGUUGUCCGGAUUUAUUGGGCGUAAAGAGCGUGUAGGCGGCCAGGUAGGUCCGUUGUGAAAACUCGAGGCUCAACCUCGAGACGUCGAUGGAAACCAUCUGGCUAGAGUCCGGAAGAGGAGAGUGGAAUUCCUGGUGUAGCGGUGAAAUGCGCAGAUAUCAGGAAGAGCACCCGUGGCGAAGGCGGCUCUCUGGGACGGUACUGACGCUGAGACGCGAAAGCGUGGGGAGCGAACAGG
This 253-nucleotide ribosomal RNA is filed under the name uncultured bacterium. RNAcentral describes it as "partial 16S ribosomal RNA". It matches the Rfam family "Bacterial small subunit ribosomal RNA", at positions 524 to 776 of the family's 1533-position model. The record is from RNAcentral.